ACGUAGGCAGCAAGCGUUGUUCGGAGUUACUGGGCGUAGAGGGUGUGUAGGCGGUUCUUUAAGUUUGGUGUGAAAUCUCCCGGCUCAACCGGGAGGGUGCGCCGAAUACUGAGGGACUCGAGUGCGGGAGAGGAAAGUGGAAUUCCUGGUGUAGCGGUGAAAUGCGUAGAUAUCAGGAGGAACACCGGUGGUGUAGACGGCUUUCUGGACCACUUCUGACGCUGAGACACGAAAGCGUGGGUAGCAAACAGGA
Molecule: ribosomal RNA, 253 nt
Filed under: uncultured prokaryote
Description: partial 16S ribosomal RNA
Rfam family: Bacterial small subunit ribosomal RNA
Source: RNAcentral